Molecule: non-coding RNA, 72 nt
Organism: Geotrichum candidum
Lineage: Eukaryota; Fungi; Ascomycota; Dipodascomycetes; Dipodascales; Dipodascaceae
Source: the annotation of a GenBank genome assembly
AGCGUCAUGGCGCAGAGGAAGCGCACAGGGCUCAUAACCCUGGGGUCCUUGGAUCGAAACCAAGUGACGCUA